CUCUAGGUCAUACCAUGAAUGAGAAUUGUGUGCCUGGAGCCAGGUGAAACUCUAUUAGAAUCUGAACCCUGUAGACCCAUUGUUUGUUUUGUUUUGUUUUAAAAAAAAAAAAAGCUACAUAUACCAGAAGGAACCAGGUCUGAUGCUGCCUGACACCAGAGGCACCACACACAAGAAGACAUACUCUAAAAAAACCUGUCCCUUUUGAGUCUCCUCAGCCUCAAGAGCAUCUGGAAGACAAGGUUACUUCCACCUGCACCUUCAAAAUUCUCUUCAGACAAUCAAAAGGAUGCCCGAACUUCUUAGAUGCAGAAAUACAGAAACCCAGACCCCUAGUGGGCACCCACGGAAACGCAGCAUCCUUAGGAUCAGCACUGCUCAACAGCCAAGACAGAAGAUAUGGCAGAAGUACAACACUCAAGACAAAACAACUUGAACCAGACAGAGUUCCUCGUAGAGAACCAAGUGCUUACAUCACAAAGGAAUACAGGGGCUGCUUUCAAAAUUAUUGCCAAGUCAAGAAACUCUGAGGGUUCCUAGACAUAAUUUUUUUUUAAAUUGCAUCUAACAGUUUCUGG
RNAcentral lists this long non-coding RNA (578 nucleotides) under Mus spicilegus (steppe mouse). Its description in RNAcentral is "lncRNA (ENSMSIG00000011855.1)". Lineage: Eukaryota; Metazoa; Chordata; Mammalia; Rodentia; Muridae. The record is from RNAcentral.